GCCGAGGUGGCGGAAUUGGUAGACGCACUACUUUGAGGGGGUAGCGCCCGUUUGGGUGUAGGGGUUCAAGUCCCCUCCUCGGCACCA
RNAcentral lists this transfer RNA (87 nucleotides) under Deinococcus roseus. RNAcentral describes it as "tRNA-Leu". It matches the Rfam family "tRNA". Rfam says of the family: Transfer RNA (tRNA) molecules are approximately 80 nucleotides in length. Their secondary structure includes four short double-helical elements and three loops (D, anti-codon, and T loops). RNAcentral also lists the same sequence under 3 other names. Lineage: Bacteria; Thermotogati; Deinococcota; Deinococci; Deinococcales; Deinococcaceae. The record is from RNAcentral.